UAUAUAUCUAUAGAACCCAAUGAAUGUACAUGGCAGACCUGGCCCAGCCAUGGUUCCGUCAUGGUGGGAUCGAGUGGUAGAACCAAAGUGGGUGCCCUGGGGUGCUCAUUCACCCUGUGUGAGCACAGCUGACCUGAGGGUGCUCGGUGGGUGCCCUUGGGUAGCCAGGGAAGGCUGUCACUUGUGGCAGGCAUAAUGGCAGCCUCGAAGCCCAGGUGGAGCCCCGGCUGGUCGUUCAGGGAAUAGACAGUGUAAGUAGGGGGUGUGUAGGAGGGACACAGGCUGAAAGGAAAAAUAGAAAAAAAACAAAAAAAAAAAACCAAAACCACAAAAACCAACAAAAAAAAAAAAAAGAAAAAGCAAAAUCCUAUUUUUUGAGAAAGAAAGAUAUUUAUAUUUGCAGUUUUAUUUUAAAAAGUUAUUUAAGCUGAGGAAACGGCCUUCCCGGAGUUCGGGGUGGCUGGCACCGGACGGGUCAGGGGUCUUGGGGGGCUCCUCACCCCAGGAAUGAUUAUCUCAGUUCAGAACUAGCUCGCACUAAAUAUAUAUUGAUUUACCUUUGUGGGGGGCAGGGGGGCCAAGAGACAGAGGGUCAGGGGAGCCCCGCCCCAGGCCCAGAAUGAGGUGCCUUGGAAUUUGGGGGCCCAGGCCUGGUUCAUGGGGGUCCAGAGCACAGAACAGACAUUCCACUGACUGGAUGUAAGAAUCUUUAUAAAAAGUGUGGGAGGCAGAACGAAAAAAAAAUCAAUUGAUUAAAGGAAAAUGCACUUUUUUGGGGGUGGGGGGACAAGCUUUAAAAGUAAUUAAAAAACAAAAGAUUAUGAAAAAUCCGAAAAAAUAGAAUUCAUUUUUCUUGUACAUAAAAGAAAAACCCAACCACUAAAUGCAGCCUGUUACG
This 898-nucleotide long non-coding RNA is filed under the name Mus musculus (house mouse). Its description in RNAcentral is "long non-coding RNA chr10:81151321-81152219". Lineage: Eukaryota; Metazoa; Chordata; Mammalia; Rodentia; Muridae. The record is from RNAcentral.